Molecule: ribosomal RNA, 497 nt
Filed under: uncultured bacterium
Lineage: Bacteria
Description: partial 16S ribosomal RNA
Rfam family: Bacterial small subunit ribosomal RNA
Source: RNAcentral
GAUGAACGCUGGCGGCGUGCCUAAUACAUGCAAGUCGAGCGAACAGACGAGGCGCUUGCUCCUCUUACGUUAGCGGCGGACGGGUGAGUCACACGUGGAUAACCUACCUAUAAGGCUGGGAUAACUUCGGGAGACCGGAGCCAAUACCGGAUCAUAUAUUGAACCGCAUGGUUCUAUAGUGCAAGACGGUUCUGCUGUCACUUAUACAUGGAUCCUCGCCGCAUUAGCUAGUUGGUAAGGUAACGGCUUACCAAGGCAACGAUGCGUAGCCGACCUGAGAGGGUGAUCGGCCACACUGGAACUGAGACACGGUCCAGACUCCUACGGGAGGCAGCAGUAGGGAAUCUUACGCAAUGGGCGAAAGCCUGACGGAGCAACGCCGCGUGAGUGAUGAAGGUCUUCGGAUCGUAAAACUCUGUUAUUAGGGAAGAACAGAUGUGUAAGUAACUAUGCACGUCUUGACGGUACCAAAACAGAAAGCCACGGCUAACUACGUG